CACGCAGGCGGUCUGUUAAGUCAGAUGUGAAAUCCCCGGGCUUAACUUGGGAAUUGCAUUCGAUACUGGUUGGCUAGAGUGUGGGAGAGGAUGGUAGAAUUCCAGGUGUAGCGGUGAAAUGCGUAGAGAUCUGGAGGAAUACCGAUUGCGAAGGCAGCCCCCUGGACAGUGACUGACGCUCAUAUGCGAAAGCGUGGGGAUCAAACAGGAUUAGAUACCCCUGUA
This 225-nucleotide ribosomal RNA is filed under the name uncultured Thorsellia sp. Its description in RNAcentral is "partial 16S ribosomal RNA". It matches the Rfam family "Bacterial small subunit ribosomal RNA", at positions 568 to 792 of the family's 1533-position model. Lineage: Bacteria; Pseudomonadati; Pseudomonadota; Gammaproteobacteria; Enterobacterales; Thorselliaceae. The record is from RNAcentral.